CUGAUAGCAUUGGAAAGUGUCCUUCAUCUAAAGAACUGGUACAAUGCAGGCAGCACACAGUCUCCCUUAUUAUCUAACGGGGCUUGAACACUCCUGUAAAGUCACCUCUGAACGCUCAGAGGACAGUUCAGUCUCCAUGCCCCUUCAGUCUUUUGCCUCU
Molecule: small RNA, 160 nt
Filed under: Anser brachyrhynchus (Pink-footed goose)
Lineage: Eukaryota; Metazoa; Chordata; Aves; Anseriformes; Anatidae
Description: TUC338 (ENSABRG00000021736.1)
Source: RNAcentral